This 253-nucleotide ribosomal RNA is filed under the name uncultured bacterium. RNAcentral's name for it is "partial 16S ribosomal RNA". It matches the Rfam family "Bacterial small subunit ribosomal RNA", at positions 524 to 776 of the family's 1533-position model. The record is from RNAcentral.
AACGUAGGAGACAAACGUUAUCCGGAGUUACUGGGCGUAAAGGGCGUGUAGGUGGUUUCGUAAGUCUGGCGUGAAAUUUUUCGGCUUAACCGGGAAAGGUCGUCGGAUACUGCGGGACUAGAGGACGGUAGAGGCGUGUGGAAUUUCGGGUGUAGUGGUGAAAUGCGUAGAGAUCCGGAGGAACACCAGUGGCGAAGGCGACACGCUGGGCCGUACCUGACACUGAUGCGCGACAGCAUGGGGAGCAAACAGG